RNAcentral lists this ribosomal RNA (305 nucleotides) under uncultured bacterium. Its description in RNAcentral is "bacterial SSU rRNA". It matches the Rfam family "Bacterial small subunit ribosomal RNA", at positions 333 to 630 of the family's 1533-position model. The record is from RNAcentral.
AUUUGCCUACGGGGCGCAGCAGUAGGGAAUCUUCCACAAUGGGCGAAAGCCUGAUGGAGCAACGCCGCGUGGGUGAAGAAGGUCUUCGGAUCAUAAAACCCUGUUGUUAGAGAAGAAAGUGCAUGAGAGUAACUGUUCACGUUUCGACGGUAUCUAACCAGAAAGCCACGGCUAACUACGUGCCAGCAGCCGCGGUAAUACGUAGGUGGCAAGCGUUAUCCGGAUUUAUUGGGCGUAAAGGGGAAGCAGGCGGUCUUUUAAGUCUGAUGUGAAAGCCUUCGGCUUAACCGGAGUAGUGCAUUGGA